UUACAAUUUGCAUUUUCAAAAAAUUUUGAUUCUCCAACGAUGAGUUAGAAGAAAAUGAACAGACGAAUAAAGGAUUUGGAGUCCAUACAGUUGAUUUUAAUUCACGCAGAAAAGCAUUAGAUACCCAAUAAUGUAUAAUUCACACACACUUAUCUCAUACAAUGGAUUAUACUUAUUAUGGUUAUCUAAAGUAAAAUAUAUGAUGUACCACAUACAAGGAGCUACGUAGUGGAGCCAAUGUAUUGAUAAUUUUUCUGACGUUGACUUUUUUGAAGAUAAUUCUACCGACUCUGCAGAUGAAGCCAUACCUUAUUGGAGUGAAUUAUGAAACUGAAAGGUAAUACAAUUUUGGUGAGCAAGAAUCCAAUUUUAAUAACGCAGAGGGCCUCAACAUAUUUAAAUUGCAAAGAAACACAUAACUAGUUUGGACAUUGGUAUCUUUUCUGAAGGGAAAGUGCAUCUAGUUGGAAACAGGUCGUCAAGCCUGUUCCCAUUUACAACGAGGAAAGACAAACUUCUUUGAAAUAGAGUAUGCAAUUACCAAAAAGCUUCAGUGGCUGUUAUUAAAAUUCUUCAACUAUCAACAAUGGACAUAAUUUAAGAAGACUUUUAAAUUAGAUAUAUUCUGAUAGGUACCUAUUUCCUUAAAUGUGUGUACUUAUUUUUCCUACGUUUUCCUCCCACUACCCAUCAGAAAGUAAUUAGUUACUUUAUUUAAGCAAAAAAAUACUAUACAUAUACACUGUAGAGUUGUGUUUGUGAAUAAAAUUAUUUUGUCAAUGACUAA
This is a long non-coding RNA of Acyrthosiphon pisum (pea aphid), 787 nucleotides long. RefSeq lists it as uncharacterized. The transcript is spliced from 4 exons. Lineage: Eukaryota; Metazoa; Arthropoda; Insecta; Hemiptera; Aphididae. The record is from RefSeq and is a predicted model, not a curated record.